Long non-coding RNA from Chinchilla lanigera (long-tailed chinchilla), 2453 nucleotides. RefSeq lists it as uncharacterized. The transcript is spliced from 2 exons. NCBI's taxonomy places the organism in Eukaryota, Metazoa, Chordata, Mammalia, Rodentia, Chinchillidae. The record is from RefSeq and is a predicted model, not a curated record.
GCUUCCCGAGUACUGGGACUAUAGGGCUGCGCCACCAUACCUGGCCUCUGGCUCUUUUUAAAAAUUAAUUUUAUUAAGGUGUGAUUUAUAGACAGCAAAAACAGCUCACCUUAAGGGUAUCUGCUAAUGAGUUUGACAACCAUGUAAAGCAGAACAACUCCCUGAUCUUUUUUUUUUUUUUUUCCAACUCCCUGAUCUUGAUGAAGAAUGUUUCCCUCACCCUGGCAGUUUCCCUGGCCUUGAGUCUUUCAAGUCCCCGCCCCAGCCCAGGAAGUCACGGCUGCGCCUUCUGUGACCGUAGAUAAGAUGGCUCGGGCCGGCCUCACUCUGUGUGGUUUGGGGGAUGUGGGACUUUCCUGGUGUGGUUUUCAGGUUGGCCUCUUUUUCUUGCCGAGCAGGGUCACGCACGCAGCCUACAUCCCCGUCUGCUCUUCCCUGUCCCCUCUGAGAGUCGGUCAGGAGCCUCUGGUCGGGGCUAGAAGGCUGACACCAACAGUAGUGGCUUUAGCAGCCCUCCCGGGCUCUGCCUGCUUAUGAAGAAAUUGUUUCUGUAUUUAAAUUAACAAUGUGAUGAGUUCUUCCUGCAGGGUCGUCACCGUGGUCCUUGCUAGCGCUUGCUGGCAGACUGGCUGCUUCCGCCCGCCCGGCCCAGCCCGGCCUCUAGGGCUGUACCUGGCAUGAUGCUGAGCUUAGAAGCCUGGAAGACCUUGCUCCCUUGAAUUUAGAGCCUGUGCCUUCCUGAGCUCAGACCCCUGGGGAGUCUGGCUUGAGCGGCAGCAGGAGGGCUGGUCAGGGACGGGCCUGGUGGUGCUGGUGGCCUUUCCGGCCCUGACACACCCACAGGAGGGUGGGGGCCCAGACCUGGCCAGGUCCCUCACUUCCUGCAGUGCAGCACAGCCCUCUGGCUCCAGCCGGGCAGCGGCUUCCACGGAACAGAGGCCCAAGGGGUCCAGCGGGGCUCCCCCUGCCAGUGCUGUCCCUGGGGUGUUGGGGGUGGAAGGUGAGUGCCCUGCAGCGCUGCAGGGCAGAAAUUUAAGAGCCAGAGGGCCCCAGAGAGCUCAGCUGGGGUUGGGCCUGAGGAGCCCACCUGCCUCCUGGGCCCACGUCGAGCCCUGCCGCUGUCCCGCGAAGGGGCCUGAGGCUCUCCCCUACGCCUGUCAACCUCCGGGCCUCAGCUCCUGAGCCCCCUCUUCCAUCGGAGACGGAUGCGACGGGGCCGCCUUGCAGCAGCCCUGCAGGGAGCGCUGGUGGGAGCGACCGCCGGUUACCUCAGCCGCCCGGCCUGUGGGCGGAGGAGGGUAAGCCGGUGUAACCCUUGGCUCCAGCCAUUCAGGCAGAGGGCAGCUGGCAGUGCGGGAUUAGCUUCUUCCCAGGUUUGACAAAGGUCCCCGUAGACCAGUUUGACAGCUUCCUGGUGCCCCGGUGAACUGGCCAGGCCGCAUUCUGGGACCAGCACCGGGUCCGAGGUCUCCCGAGGGGUCUGCCCAUUUCUGAUUUUCCAGAACUAUCACCCCAAGGCAAGGUAAGGGGGGCGAGAAGCCGGUGGGUGGGGCCUUCUCCCUCUCCACCCUUCAGAGGAGAAAGCUGAGGCAGGGGUGUGUCCAGGCUCGUGGGAAGGGCACCUCGUAGCCCUGUGAUGCCCCAUCGCCCCGCGGGAGUGGGACAGGAGGGUACACAGGGUGGCAGGUGGGGACACUGUGCCUCUCUCCCUCCCACAGAUGGGCCGCCCAGGGCCCCACGGGGAGAGGAUCUCUGGCACCCAGCUUUCCGGAGCCCCCAACGCCCUUGGUGAUGCCCCUGUUGAUGCCCUUCCUGGCCGGGAGGAUUCAGACCUGGUGCUCUCGGUGACUUUGGCUGUGGCCCUCACCCUGCUCUUCUUCUUGCUGCUGGCCUGGCUGGUGUGGGGCCGGCCUUGCCAAGCCUCCUGCUGACACUGGAAGGGGCUCCCUCCAGCUCUUGGGUUCUGGCUUGGGGACAACCAAGAGUGAAGCCGACAGGACAGCACGGAGCAAGCAGCGGGGAGUGAGCCAGUAUUUUGGACACAGUGAGCAGGACGGGAUGCAGGGAUGCCCUUGGCCGAGGGAGGCUGGUGAUGUCCGGACCGCGGGCUGCUUCCUUCACACUGGACUUUCUCUGAGGUGUCUCCCGUUUGUCCAGGGACCCGUUCUUUGUCCCUUACAUUCCAUCACGCCCUGAUAGUCAGUUUGCUGAAGUUAAUUACCGCAGUGUCUCCGUUCCGGAACACUUCUGUUUGCAAACAGUUCGGUUCAAAAGCAAAAGCGUUCAGCAAAAUUUUGCUUCUUUGCUUCUGGUUGCAAAUUCUACACUGGGAGACAAACAUGACCCCGUCCAGCUUCCCCCCCACACGCAGCGACCUUCCUCAACAUCAUACAGCAAAUGAAGUAAACCGAGGCGCCGCUGCACUUGGGCCCCCGGUCUGUCAGCUUGCUGAA